Molecule: long non-coding RNA, 187 nt
Organism: Perca fluviatilis (European perch)
Lineage: Eukaryota; Metazoa; Chordata; Actinopteri; Perciformes; Percidae
Exons: 2
Source: RefSeq, a predicted model, not a curated record
GCAGGGGAAGGCAGCAGAGGUCAAAGUGCGCUGGCUGCCUUGCGCUUCCUGUGGCAGAGUCUGGGAAGACACCUGGGAGCCGGCCAGCAAAUUUGCCUGAUGACCUUUUUUUUUAUGUUUUGUAUAUUUGUUUUACUAUUUGUUUUGUAUAUUUGGUCAGAAUUAAAUUCACUAUUGUUACAUUUUA